Molecule: long non-coding RNA, 205 nt
Filed under: Elaeis guineensis (African oil palm)
Lineage: Eukaryota; Viridiplantae; Streptophyta; Magnoliopsida; Arecales; Arecaceae
Description: long non-coding RNA (EGUI_LNC024812)
Source: RNAcentral
GUGUAGUGAGGAGAUUGGGGGAGGUUUGAUACAUACCCGAUUUUAGACGGAAUCUUAUCUCACUGAGUAAACUGGAUUCGAGAGGCUACAGGACGGUAGCUGUUAGAGGAAUCUUGAAGGUGCUACACGGCGAUAGGAUUGUUCUGGAGGGGAAGAAGGGGAAGAGAAGACAUUAUUACCUGAUGAGAAGUCCAGUGCGAGGUGG